This 354-nucleotide transfer-messenger RNA is filed under the name Allobosea thiooxidans. Its description in RNAcentral is "Bosea thiooxidans Alphaproteobacteria transfer-messenger RNA". It matches the Rfam family "Alphaproteobacteria transfer-messenger RNA". Rfam says of the family: Bacterial tmRNA, also known as 10Sa RNA or SsrA, is named for its dual tRNA and mRNA-like properties. Its role is to liberate the mRNA from a stalled ribosome. Lineage: Bacteria; Pseudomonadati; Pseudomonadota; Alphaproteobacteria; Hyphomicrobiales; Alloboseaceae. RNAcentral also lists the same sequence under 1 other name. The record is from RNAcentral.
CAGCUUGAAGCCAAUGUCUUGGUCACCUAUAUUCGGGUUGCCGCUUCAACGGCUACGACAGUAGACGGUUGAACAUGAUAGGCGUUCGGACAUGGGUGCGAUUCCCAUCGCCUCCACCUAAGCCCUGCGGGCACUCAGGGUUUUGGCGGGGGCGAAUUAGGUUCGACGGGCGCUGAAGAGUUCAGCUUGCUGUUCGGCAUGGUUCCGCCGUUAUCGGGCCAUUGCAUAGUUGCCAACGACAACAAUGCUCGGGUUGCUGUCGCCGCGUAAGCGGUGCUGGUUCCCAAAUCAAAGUCCUUGCGCUUAGCCGUGUAAGGCGGGGUUCGGAGGUACCUGGCAACAGAAACCUCCACU